UGAGACCACCGCAUUUUUCUAAAACCAGCAAAUUUAAAAAAAAAAAAAAGAGAGAGAAGAAGAAGAAGAAGCUGGACUAGGGUUAGGUUUCCAAAAGCCAAAACCCUGGAAAUCUUUCUAUUUUCAUCGAAUUUCUGCAGAGAUUCUCACCUGCUCUUGCCAUUUCAGCUCUUGGAUUCCUCUUCCAGCUGUUUCACUCCUUGGAUUAGGUUUCAGGUGCCAGAGCCUUGAAAUUCGCUGGCUUGAUACUAAUUUUCGAAAGGAAGGUUCUAGGGCCGAAGAAAAUGGUGUUUUUUAUGCUAUUUUGGGGCGAGGAGCGUAGAAGAUGUGUGUUUUGGAGAAGGUGAUGGCGAUUUGAAGGGAAUUCAAGAGAUCGAAGAGUUUCAAGAGCCAGUUCAACAUGUACCAUGCCAAGAAGUUUUCAACUGUGGCCUUAGUGCCUCAUAAGGCCCAGAGUGCUGAGCAACUUGCAAAUGUUGGAGUUUUGGGGGGAUCUACAAUAAACAACCCACCUGUGUCUGGGGGAAGCGGAAAGCAACGGUUACGGUGGACUUCGGAUCUCCAUGACCGCUUUGUUGACGCCAUAACACAACUUGGAGGACCAGAGAGGGCAACACCAAAAGGUGUUCUAAGAGUGAUGGGUGUACCAGGACUUACUAUUUAUCAUGUGAAAAGCCAUUUACAGAAAUAUCGGCUGGCAAAGUACCUUCCUGAAUCUCCAGCUGAUGGCUCCAAAGAGGAAAAGAAAGAUUCCAGUGAUUCCCUCUCUAGCAUGGAUUCUACGCCAGGAUCACAAAUUAAUGAAGCACUGAGGAUGCAGAUGGAGGUGCAGAAGCGGCUCCAUGAUCAGCUUGAGGUACAAAGACAGUUGCAGCUGAGAAUUGAAGCCCAAAGUAAGUACCUGCAGAAGAUCAUUGAGGAGCAGCAGAAGCUAGGCGGGACUCUCAAGGCGGACGAUGAAAAACACAAGCCGCCCUCCCAACCACCUACAGGUUCUCCGCUCAAGAAACAGAGAGUGGAUGACUGUGGGUUCCCAGGUCCGCAUCCGGGGGACGACAAGUGUGAUUUCAUAGGCAGGUGGGAUCGGAAUAUCUAUGGGAGGGAUGUUGUGGGGUUUGGCCUUGACAUGGGGGUGGAGUUCAAAGAGGUGGGAGAUGGCAGGCAGAAGCAAGCGGGCCGACUAUUGGCCAGGCCCACUUGUGGUUCUGGGGGGGCUCCGUCUUAGCUGCUGGGAGACCCAUGCCUUUUGCUAAUGGGGUUGAGACCUGGCAGUGUUUGGUGACGUGCCGGAUCGCAAUGUAUCAUUUACACCGUAAUCCAUUUCGUGCAGGUGAUCGCCUUCCUUUGUAGCGUGGGGUGGCCCUUUCCUCAGUAGUCUAACCAUUUUAGUUUGGGAUGUGGUGGUCACUGAUCAAGUUAGUAGUCAAUAUGGUGGGACCCACUAGAUAGGGCUUAGUUUGGGAUGUGGUGGUCACUUGUCAAAUUAAUUGUCAAAAUGGUGGGACCCACUCUAGAUAGGUUAUAGCCCUAAAACCAUCUUGAUUGGACGUUCCUAGCCUCUGAUUAGCGGACAUUUGUUCAUUGAAUCUGUUCAUUCAACCGUCCGUUAGAUGUCCACCAAUCGGGGAGUAAGGAACCCAAUUAGUUUAGAUUCCAUAGCAUCUAUUAUAAAUGCUGUGCAACGGUGACUGUAGCUACACACGACUGUGUUAUGUAAUGAAGUGGAAGCUGUUUUAAGGCCA
Magnolia sinica is the source of this 1742-nucleotide RNA transcript. It is a transcript of the gene named myb family transcription factor PHL7-like, with no coding region annotated. Lineage: Eukaryota; Viridiplantae; Streptophyta; Magnoliopsida; Magnoliales; Magnoliaceae. The record is from RefSeq and is a predicted model, not a curated record. The transcript has 8 exons.